Molecule: ribosomal RNA, 275 nt
Filed under: uncultured prokaryote
Description: partial 16S ribosomal RNA
Rfam family: Bacterial small subunit ribosomal RNA
Source: RNAcentral
UACGUAGGGGCUAGCGUUAUCCGGAAUUACUGGGCGUAAAGGGUGCGUAGGCGGUUUCUUAAGUCAGAGGUGAAAGGCUACGGCUCAACCGUAGUAAGCCUUUGAAACUGGGAAACUUGAGUGCAGGAGAGGAGAGUGGAAUUCCCAGUGUAGCGGUGAAAUGCAUAGAUAUUAGGAGGAACACCAGUUGCGAAGGCGGCUCUCUGGACUGUAACUGACACUGAGGCACGAAAGCGUGGGGAGCAAACAGGAUUAGAUACCCUGGUAGUCCCUGA